CGCGUAGGAAUCUGCCCGGUAGCGGGGGAUAGCCCAGAGAAAUUUGGAUUAAUACCGCAUACGCCCUAAGGGGGAAAGCAGGGGAUCUUCGGACCUUGCACUAUCGGAUGAGCCUGCGUCGGAUUAGCUUGUUGGUGGGGUAAUGGCCUACCAAGGCGACGAUCUCUAGCUGGUUUGAGAGGAUGAUCAGCCACACUGGGACUGAGACGCGGCCCAGACUCCUACGGGAGGCAGCAGUGGGGAAUAUUGCACAAUGGGGGAAACCCUGAUGCAGCCAUGCCGCGUGUGUGAAGAAGGCCU
Molecule: ribosomal RNA, 300 nt
Filed under: uncultured Hahellaceae bacterium
Lineage: Bacteria; Pseudomonadati; Pseudomonadota; Gammaproteobacteria; Oceanospirillales; Hahellaceae
Description: bacterial SSU rRNA
Rfam family: Bacterial small subunit ribosomal RNA
Source: RNAcentral